UACGUAGGGUGCAAGCGUUAAUCGGAAUUACUGGGCGUAAAGCGUGCGCAGGCGGUUCUGAAAGUCAGCUGUGAAAGCCCCGGGCUUAACCUGGGAAUGGCGGUUGAAACUACAGGACUAGAAUCUGGCAGAGGGGGGUGGAAUUCCACGUGUAGCAGUGAAAUGCGUAGAGAUGUGGAGGAACACCGAUGGCGAAGGCAGCCCCCUGGGCUGAGAUUGACGCUCAGGCACGAAAGCGUGGGGAGCAAACAGG
Molecule: ribosomal RNA, 253 nt
Filed under: uncultured bacterium
Lineage: Bacteria
Description: partial 16S ribosomal RNA
Rfam family: Bacterial small subunit ribosomal RNA
Source: RNAcentral